GACAUAUAUCGUGUGUUGAGAUAGUCCUAAUUAGUAUCUUUGCCAUUUGAUGUACAAGAAUCAUCUAUACAUCCAUUCAUUGUCCUAAAAGGUUUCUUCCAAAGAUUGACUUUCAGGACAUAUUUCCAACAAUCUCCCACUAGCACUAAAGUCAAUCACUUGUGUAUCUUAUAGAUACUAGUUGAGUGAGCUUAUGCUCGUAGGUUAACUUGGUUAUGUAUUAAUCCUUUUAAUUUAUAAAAGGGAUUUACUUAUCAAAUGUUUCUAAAACAUUUGAUGAUGUCUCUUUCUUGUGUUCAAAUACUUUGACGAGACCUUGAUUCCAUGGCUUGAGCUAUCGCCCCAUUACGUCGUAGUGUCCAACUAACGACCUUAUGGUUUGGAUUCAAUCAUUGGUUCUAUAAGAACCCCUUCUAUUCAAAACACCUUUUGAAGCAGUUUCUAAAACAAUAUAUCGCCAUAUAUUUCGUUUGUAUACUUUAUACAUACUUUGCUCCAACCUUGAGACCAUUGUAGUACAAUACUAACAAUACAUUCAUAUGAUUAGUACUUCAUCCAUUAUGAAGUUCCAUUUGUUAAAAUGGGUUAUUUUUCACUUUGGUUAAUAACCUAAGUGAAUGCACGCUUCCAGAGUCCCACUCUGAUGUUCCUUUCUUAAAGGCAAUAAUACUCUAUCAGUUGCUAUGGUUCUGAUCCUGGGCUAUAGUAAUAUCUUAAAGUGACAACCCCUGUGGCUUUUCACCUUUGGAUAUCAUCUCACAAGUUCAUACAUGUGUCCCUUUUGUGAUUUUAUGACACAUUCAUUAUAAGGGUUAUGAAAGUGAUUUUCUAUCAUAUAGGAAAACACCUUCUCAAAUCUUCAACAUUUGAGAUUUAAUUUCCCCAAAUAACAUCCUUGAGAUAGCCUUGCUAUAUCAAUAAGUCCAAUUUCAAGUCUAUACUUUAAAAUUGACCAUGUCACGUUUUGUCAUUUUUUCGAGUAACAUCUAUGUUUUAUCAAGUCUAUCAAAUAGACUUUAUUCAUAUCUUGUUGCUCAAAUUAUGACAUCACUCCCACUGGCCUUGUUGUAACUUAGCAUUCAUUAAAAAACUUAACACUUAUAUUUUCUUGAUUUGAAUGCAUAUUGCUUCCACUAACUUGUCUUGGAUCUAUUGACAAUCAUUGAGAUCCAUUAGCUUAUUGAUGAUGUCUUAACAAUUUUAAAACUAUCAACAACGCUAGCUAACACAAGUUAUUUAAAUGAACAUACACAAAAGAAUUCCUUCUCAAGUAAUUCCAUUUGAAAUGUGUGACUUGCUUUAUCAAGUCUAUUCAUUUAAAUCAUAUGGUGUCAUACACCAUACUCCAAGUUUUAGUCAUACUAAGACCUUUAAUGUAGUCAUAUAAGAAUUAUCCAAGUCUUUAGUGGAAGCAUGGCUCC
This 1421-nucleotide long non-coding RNA is filed under the name Malus domestica (apple). RNAcentral describes it as "long non-coding RNA (MDOM_LNC017959)". Lineage: Eukaryota; Viridiplantae; Streptophyta; Magnoliopsida; Rosales; Rosaceae. The record is from RNAcentral.